RNAcentral lists this long non-coding RNA (665 nucleotides) under Salmo salar (Atlantic salmon). RNAcentral's name for it is "lncRNA (ENSSSAG00000087237.1, ENSSSAG00020059268.1)". Lineage: Eukaryota; Metazoa; Chordata; Actinopteri; Salmoniformes; Salmonidae. The record is from RNAcentral.
GCUAGCUCCUACUGCCCCUCCUCAGCUCCGGUCAACCUCCCAGGCAACAGCUGGACCAGUACAGCCUGCUGCUGACGCUCAGGUGCUUCUCCCUGAGGGAUGGAAGCAGACCCUCCCAAAGGAGCAGCAAGAGUGGGUCAGUCGGGCCAUUUUCACAAGGGACAAGUAGCUCAAAUGUGUCCUGAAAAGCCAGCUUGAGCUGUGGUACUCCCUUCCUCUGCCUCCUAACAUCAGCCAUCAGCCUCCAGCUUCUCCCACCGCCUACUUCCUCCAGCCGUUCUGCCUCUGGAUGUCCUACCACCUUUUAAGUUUGUGUGCACCCAGCCACAGUGCAAGCAUCUAAAGCUCACAGGCUGUGGGGUGUACAAGAUGGUCUGGAGGGUGCUUGACGUGGAUGGCUGGUAUUAUAUGGGGACAGAAUACCUGGAGUGCCGCAUCUGUAAGAGGAAGCUAGCAGGAUGGUUGCUGGAUGUCUUGAACCAGCUUGGACGCAAGUCAUCGCGCUAAGUUCCCAGACAUCUUGACUUACAGCCCUCAGGUGACCAAGAAACUAGGGGGGGAAGCACAAGGGACAGCACCGUGGGCCACAAACGUGGGCAAUGAGUACGGCUAGUUGCUCAUUAAGGUCCUCACUGACAGCGAAGGAGAAGACCUGCUCAACAUGG